This 244-nucleotide ribosomal RNA is filed under the name uncultured Lactobacillus sp. Its description in RNAcentral is "partial 16S ribosomal RNA". It matches the Rfam family "Bacterial small subunit ribosomal RNA", at positions 123 to 355 of the family's 1533-position model. Lineage: Bacteria; Bacillati; Bacillota; Bacilli; Lactobacillales; Lactobacillaceae. The record is from RNAcentral.
AACCGUGCCCCACUAGUCUGGGAUACCACUUGGAAACAAGGUGGCUAAUACCGGAUAAGAAAGCGGAUCGCAUGAUCAGCUUUUAAAAGGCGGCGUAAGCUGUCGCUAUGGGAUGGCCCCGCGGUGCAUUAGCUAGUUGGUAAGGUAAAGGCUUACCAAGGCGAUGAUGCAUAGCCGAGUUGAGAGACUGAUCGGCCACAUUGGGACUGAGACACGGCCCAAACUCCUACGGGAGGCAGCAGCU